UGGGGAAUAUUGGACAAUGGGCGCAAGCCUGAUCCAGCCAUGCCGCGUGAGUGAUGAAGGCCUUAGGGUUGUAAAGCUCUUUCACCGGAGAAGAUAAUGACGGUAUCCGGAGAAGAAGCCCCGGCUAACUUCGUGCCAGCAGCCGCGGUAAUACGAAGGGGGCUAGCGUUGUUCGGAAUUACUGGGCGUAAAGCGCACGUAGGCGGAUCGAUCAGUCAGGGGUGAAAUCCCAGAGCUCAACUCUGGAACUGCCUUUGAUACUGUCGAUCUAGAGUAUGGAAGAGGUGAGUGGAAUUCCGAGUGUAGAGGUGAAAUUCGUAGAUAUUCGGAGGAACACCAGUGGCGAAGGCGGCUCACUGGUCCAUUACUGACGCUGAGGUGCGAAAGCGUGGGGAGCAAACA
RNAcentral lists this ribosomal RNA (402 nucleotides) under uncultured Rhizobium sp. RNAcentral's name for it is "bacterial SSU rRNA". It matches the Rfam family "Bacterial small subunit ribosomal RNA", at positions 355 to 774 of the family's 1533-position model. RNAcentral also lists the same sequence under 1 other name. Lineage: Bacteria; Pseudomonadati; Pseudomonadota; Alphaproteobacteria; Hyphomicrobiales; Rhizobiaceae. The record is from RNAcentral.